Molecule: long non-coding RNA, 704 nt
Organism: Rhipicephalus microplus (southern cattle tick)
Lineage: Eukaryota; Metazoa; Arthropoda; Arachnida; Ixodida; Ixodidae
Source: RefSeq, a predicted model, not a curated record
GUCAAUCCGUUCGCGGUGAACGUGUGCACCGUAGACUGCUUUUAACGACGUGUUCGCAACGUUGUCGCGGUCUCCGCUCGAAAAUGCAGCAGUCUUACGUGAACAGGAAACUUUACACCUCGGCACUCAUGUAGCCAGCAAAUGGAUGAGCGAAGGAGCAAGUUUGGUUCGCGACAUUUACGGGUAACUCAUUCUGGACAAGCUGGAACACAUCGCCGUGUAAUUCAAAGGAUCGUGGAUGACGCGUGCACAUUCGUCGCACAUCGCCGUCAGUACAGUGACCGACUGAUAAGCGGCCUUGCGGCAGACGAGCACACGGCGACAACUUGCUACAGGACUAGAAACGACACACUCAUGGCUACUUAGAGGCCCGUGGUUGGCAAAAGCCACGCGUCUUUUCGCAAGAAAAGAGCCUCUGGUGACGUUGACAUCUUCCAGAUCAGAGUCCUGGUUUUAAUCAUUGUGGAACUUGCCAGAACAAUACUGGGAAUACGCAAGAUGCUCGCCAUCACAGUUUACACAGUGAGGCGUGUACUAUGACAGUCUCAGGCAUGGCCUUCUUUUCACUAGUUUGCGCAAGUGAGUCAACCAUGGCAACUCUGCAAGCUGUGGCCAAAGCUCCAACACCGAAAGCAUCUUCAUGGUUUUGAAAUGUAUAGUCUCAUGGCAAGCUCUGAUAAACUAUUUCAAUGCUUUGCAGCAGA